RNAcentral lists this ribosomal RNA (1345 nucleotides) under uncultured bacterium. RNAcentral describes it as "bacterial SSU rRNA". It matches the Rfam family "Bacterial small subunit ribosomal RNA", at positions 28 to 1380 of the family's 1533-position model. The record is from RNAcentral.
GACGAACUUUGGCGGCGUGCUUAACACAUGCAAGUCGAACGGAAAGGCCCUGCUUUUGUGGGGUGCUCGAGUGGCGAACGGGUGAGUAACACGUGAGUAACCUGCCCUUGACUUUGGGAUAACUUCAGGAAACCGGGGCUAAUACCGGAUAGGAGCUCCUGCUGCAUGGUGGGGGUUGGAAAGUUUCGGCGGUUGGGGAUGGACUCGCGGCUUAUCAGCUUGUUGGUGGGGUAGUGGCUUACCAAGGCUUUGACGGGUAGCCGGCCUGAGAGGGUGACCGGCCACAUUGGGACUGAGAUACGGCCCAGACUCCUACGGGAGGCGGCAGUGGGGAAUAUUGCACAAUGGGCGGAAGCCUGAUGCAGCAACGCCGCGUGCGGGAUGACGGCCUUCGGGUUGUAAACCGCUUUCGCCUGUGACGAAGCGUGAGUGACGGUAAUGGGUAAAGAAGCACCGGCUAACUACGUGCCAGCAGCCGCGGUGAUACGUAGGGUGCGAGCGUUGUCCGGAUUUAUUGGGCGUAAAGGGCUCGUAGGUGGUUGAUCGCGUCGGAAGUGUAAUCUUGGGGCUUAACCCUGAGCGUGCUUUCGAUACGGGUUGACUUGAGGAAGGUAGGGGAGAAUGGAAUUCCUGGUGGAGCGGUGGAAUGCGCAGAUAUCAGGAGGAACACCAGUGGCGAAGGCGGUUCUCUGGGCCUUUCCUGACGCUGAGGAGCGAAAGCGUGGGGAGCGAACAGGCUUAGAUACCCUGGUAGUCCACGCUGUAAACGGUGGGUACUAGGUGUGGGGUCCAUUCCACGGGUUCCGUGCCGUAGCUAACGCUUUAAGUACCCCGCCUGGGGAGUACGGCCGCAAGGCUAAAACUCAAAGGAAUUGACGGGGCCCCGCACAAGCGGCGGAGCAUGCGGAUUAAUUCGAUGCAACGCGUAGAACCUUACCUGGGUUUGACAUGGAUCGGGAGUGCUCAGAGAUGGGUGUGCCUCUUUUGGGGUCGGUUCACAGGUGGUGCAUGCCUGUCGUCAGCUCGUGUCGUGAGAUGUUGGGUUAAGUCCCGCAACGAGCGCAACCCUUGUUCACUGUUGCCAGCACGUUAUGGUGGGGACUCAGUAGAGACCGCCGGGGUCAACUCGGAGGAAGGUGGGGAUGACGUCAAGUCCUCAUGCCCCUUAUGUCCAGGGCUUCACGCAUGCUACAAUGGCUGGUACAGAGAGUGGCGAGCCUGUGAGGGUGAGCGAAUCUCGGAAAGCCGGUCUCAGUUCGGAUUGGGGUCUGCAACUCGACCUCAUGAAGUCGGAGUCGCUAGUAAUCGCAGAUCAGCAACGCUGCGGUGAAUACGUUCCCGGGGC